This 75-nucleotide non-coding RNA is filed under the name unclassified sequences. RNAcentral describes it as "S15-Halobacteria ribosomal protein leader". It matches the Rfam family "S15-Halobacteria ribosomal protein leader". The record is from RNAcentral.
CUGGGAACAGCACAGCCGCAUAUCCGACUUCGUCGCGCAGGCCUCGCGCCUCGCGGCUUGGGAGUGCGGACGUGC